RNAcentral lists this long non-coding RNA (1622 nucleotides) under Apteryx rowi (Okarito brown kiwi). RNAcentral's name for it is "lncRNA (ENSARWG00000016494.1)". Lineage: Eukaryota; Metazoa; Chordata; Aves; Apterygiformes; Apterygidae. The record is from RNAcentral.
CCGCCCCCCCUCUCCUCCUCUCCCUUCCCUCCCUCCUUCCUUCCCCGGCCCGGCCUUCAGCUCGCACUCACCCGCCUUCCUCGUCCCUGCCCAGCGCGCAGUGUGUGUGCGCGGCUCUCCCUCGCGCUGCGCUGCGCUACCCGGCGCGGCGGCCGGGCCGGACCGGGCCGGGCCGGCGGGGGCGGGCGGGUGAGCGCGUGCGGGGAAGGAGGAGGAGGAGNNNNNNNNNNNNNNNNNNNNNNNNNNNNNNNNNNNNNNNNNNNNNNNNNNNNNNNNNNNNNNNNNNNNNNNNNGCUCCUCGGGCGGGACCUGUGGCAGCGGUCGGCCGGGCGCUUCAGCGGCGGCUCCGACGACGACCUUUAUGCGAGAGACGGACAAUUUAUUUAUUGUCACUUCAAACUUCGCGUGUCGCCAGCUCUAAAAGCGCAGGUCGGGGAUGCCUCUGAGGAGACGGCUGCUAAACCGGGGGAAGCCGCUGGCAGCGGGCGCUUUCGCACUUGGUGUUGCUCCCGUUAAAACUCAGUUCCGACCCAGCGUGACAGGGAGAUUGCGUGGCUGAUGAGGGCAUCGGUUCCUGCGGCGGCGAAACGUGGCCGCCUCCUGCGCGCUGCCUGCCCGCCCCGCGGCUGGAAAGCCGCCCCUCUCCCGCCCGGACCCGCUCAUCCUAUGGCAACAGGCAUUUACAUGGCGGUGCCCUUUGGCUGAACAGUUUUUUUGUUUGUUUGUUUGUUUUUUAAGGGCUUUUCAGAUCCGUUUCCCAUUUGGAACAGAAAGGCACAGAAGUGGGUGUUUUGUUGGUGUUCUCUCUUCAGUUAGAAAAUCUAGGCAAAUUCUGCUUUCAUGGGCAGGGGUUGUAAUUAAUCUUGCAGAAGCAGCUUCCUCCCUGAAAAUUCUCAAGGAGAGAACCUCUCUGCUGCCAAAACACUUGUCUUGCUUCUUUUUUAUCUCUCUUGUCUUCAGAAACUCACAUAAACCACAUUGCUUGGGUCUCUUCUUUCUACCAUAGACACUGAGAAACCAAUUGCCAUGGACCUGUUAAGACUGAACCUGUAAAUCUAUCACACAAAGGGACCUCAGAACCUCAGCUACCAGGCAAAAAAAGUGCUUUUGCUCCCAGCCUUUAUGACUCUCUGGUGGCAGUUCCUGCACAGCAUCCUUAACUCUCGUAAUAGGCAAUUUCAUCCUGGGUAUUUAAUCAUCAGUUAUCUCUAAGGCACAAGUUAUUAGGGCUUUUGCCAUAAUAGCAUACACCUGAUGUUCUACUUAUUUCAGCAGUUGCUGGAUAAGACAGGUGUUCAUCACAAAAUGGUCUGCACAGAAUGCACAGGUAUAACUGUUUUGUUUAGUGGUAUGAUGUUUUUCUUCUUUAUUUUUCUGUGUUACAUUCAAGUGUUAUACUGGUACAGCUUCACACCGCACACCUGUUUCACUGAUAGUGAAGUGUCUUGUGUUGGUGUAGCUUAUUCUCUUUCCCACAGAAGUUAACAUUACUUUGUGCAUAUAAACAGUUUUAUAUUGACAUAAGUAUAUCCAUAAGAGGAAAGCUCUAUGAAUUAACUACAUCACUUCCAGCUGUGGGCAAGACCUAGGUCUGAAUAAAAAUAAAUACAAUAUUAUUUUCA